Molecule: transfer RNA, 64 nt
Filed under: Osculotes curta
Lineage: Eukaryota; Metazoa; Arthropoda; Insecta; Psocodea; Philopteridae
Description: tRNA-Cys
Source: RNAcentral
AGAAGUAAGGUUGGUUACUCCAAUAUUUUAUUGCAAAUAAAAAGAAGAUUAAGAUCUACUUCUA